Molecule: ribosomal RNA, 262 nt
Filed under: uncultured bacterium
Lineage: Bacteria
Description: partial 16S ribosomal RNA
Rfam family: Bacterial small subunit ribosomal RNA
Source: RNAcentral
CGAACGGGUGAGUAAUACAUAAGUAACCUGCCCUAGACAGGGGGAUAACUAUUGGAAACGAUAGCUAAGACCGCAUAGGUACGGACACUGCAUGGUGACCGUAUUAAAAGUGCCUCAAAGCACUGGUAGAGGAUGGACUUAUGGCGCAUUAGCUGGUUGGNGGGGUAACGGCCCACCAAGGCGACGAUGCGUAGCCGACCUGAGAGGGUGACCGGCCACACUGGGACUGAGACACGGCCCAGACUCCUACGGGAGCAGCAUG